Lotus japonicus is the source of this 3090-nucleotide RNA transcript. RefSeq lists it as uncharacterized. The transcript has 11 exons. The record is from RefSeq and is a predicted model, not a curated record. NCBI's taxonomy places the organism in Eukaryota, Viridiplantae, Streptophyta, Magnoliopsida, Fabales, Fabaceae.
CCCUUCUUUACCCUCUCUUCCGUCUGACUCUCAGGUUCUCCGAUUCUCCGAUGGCCAUGCCAAUGCCAUGGCCUCCGAUGACCAUGGUGGGCUCCGGUAAAGUGCUCCGCCUACUGCAUCACUGUAGAAGAAGAAGCAGCUGAGGGUGCUUGUGGCGGGUGAAGGCAUCGGUGGGUUGGGUUUUGCUUUGGCUGCAAAGAGAAAGGGGUUUGAGGUUUUGGUGUUUGAGAAGGAUUUGAGUGCUUGUGAGAGGGGAAGGACAGUACAGGGGUCCAAUUCAGAUACAAAGUAAUGCUUUGGCUGCUCUGAAAGCUAUUGAUUCGGAUGUUGCUGAUGAAGUUAUGAGGCUUGGUUGCAUCACUGGUGAUAGAAUCAAUGGGCUUGUGGAUGGAGUUUCUGGUUCUUGUCAGAAAUGUGAACAUUUAUAGCACAUUGUAAAACUUAUCGGCUACUGCAUUGAAGAUGAUCAGCGACUUCUUGUUUAUGAGUUUAUGACCCGUGGAAGUCUAGAAAAUCAUCUAUUCAGAAAAAGUAGAAAGUGGAAAGAUGGAUUCAAUGCAUGUAGGCAUAAAUUGCAUGGAGAUAAUGUUGCAGCACAUGGAAUUCGUGCUUCAGGCUGUUCUGAACCGGGUUGGUGAACUUGACCAAGCAUCAAAAGUCAUGAUGGACAAGUUCACAAAAGUUAUUUCAGGAAUCAAAUCAUGCAAGGAAGACAUUGAACCUCUGAAGGGUAAAUCAAGUGCAGCAUAUACAUAUGCGAGCAACACUUUCGACACAAAAUCACCAAACACUAUUAGGAAACGGCUAAAAGGGAAACAAGUAUCUAACAACUAUGCAAUGCCAGAGCUGCCUACAACAAAUUUUGGAUCACUUACAGCUACUGCGCUAAAAUUAAUGUUAGAAAAGCAAGGCAAGAAAUCCCAUCAAGUUCUUGAAAAAGGAUGACAAUGAUACCUCUACUAAACAAAUCCUUCCUUUAAAUAAGAGAAAAUGGACAGAAGGACAACCUUACAAUGGGGAAUCAAUUUCAGAUGUUGAUGAUAGUGAUCUGAAUGAGCCACUACCCAGCUUUGGUUUUAUAUUACCACUGUCCAUUUUGUCCAACUUUAGACCGACGAGGGAGAUGAAUCUGUCACAAGAUGAAGUGAAGAUUAGCUGUAAUAUAUUUCAUCCGGAAAGGAGUGAUAUGUCCAUUACAUUCUAAAAAAUCUCAAAUAAUAUUGGAUCUUCAAUGUUUUCCCAUGAUCAUUAAGUGUAUAUGAUAUUUGCAGUGAGAUCAUGUUAAAGAUUGGGAAUCAACAGGCAACUCGAGAAGUGUUUCACUGCCUUUGUCCAGGGAAAAUGGUCACAUCCGAGAUGAUAAGGUUGCUUGCAUGGAAAGCAACCUGGUGGCAGAAUAAUUCAACCCCUGCUAAGGGAUUUUGGACCUUCCCUCCAUCAUUUGUGUGAAGUAAUCAAAGGAACACCCUUUCCGGACAUGAAACAAAGCUAUGGGCAAGAUUGGAUGCCAAACCUGAAGAACUUAGAAAUUAUUUAUAUACCAAUCCAGGAGAGCGAUGGCCAUUGGUAUCUAGCAGUUAUAUCUUUUAAAGCCAGAGUUAUAUACCACGUAGACACCCAGCUGGAUUUCAAGUGUACGGAGGAUAAACAGAAGACUAUAGGCUUAGCGUGUGAGGUGUUAACUCAGAUGGUUGCAACCCUCCUUGAAUUAGACCAACAAAUCAAAACUAACACGGUAGGGCUAUGUGAAUGGCAAAUUGAAUAUGCUAGAGGCAUACCAAAUUUGAGAUCCAGUCUAAAUUCGGCUGUGUGGAUCAUGAAAUGGAUUUCGAAGGAACAACGCUUCAAACCUAUACUGUCUGGUGAUGUAGUUCAGAUGGAUGUCGCCACAAGAUUGAUCAUUGGAGAUCAUAACAAGUGCCUGCCCCAUAUACAAGAGGAGGCACAUAGCUUCUGGAAAAAACUGACCUGAAACUGAUCAUUCUGAAGUAGCAUCACAAAAGGAUUAUUCUUUUUGGUUCCACGAAGUGACUUGCAUUUUCAUCAAUUUAAGACAAUGUGAUGGUAAUUUUUUUUGGCUAUGUGAUGGUCAGCCAUGACAUCAUUGUAAGGCUGUUUGCAAUUGUGAUGAAAAACCCUCACUGAGGUACUAUUUGACAAUGCCUCACAAUCAAAGAAAAUGAGAUGGUAUAUCUGGUAUAUUUGUGAUGGAAAUACCCUCACAAAUGUAGCAUUUGGCAUAUAGUUGCAAAUCAUAUUUUGGUGUUAUGUUAUUGCCAAACAAUGAGGUAGGUGUUAUGUUAUUGCCAAAUUCUGUGGAAUGAAAUCUGAUAUCAGAAAAUUUGUGGAAGAAUGUGACAUUUGCCAAAGGAGGGCUACCUAGGGUCAAGGGUAAGGACACCAUUUUGGUGGUGGUGGAUAGGUUGUCCAAGUUUCCUCAUUUUUAUGCCUUAGACCACCCAUUUUCAGCUAAGGAUGUGGCUUUAGUAUUCAUCAAGGAAGUGGUAAAACUCCAUGGUUUUCCUACAACCAUUGUUUUUUAUAGAGACCCACUUUUCCUUAGCCAAUUCUGGAAGGAGAUGUUUAGGCUGGCUGGAGCUCAACUGAAGUUAAGCACUUCUUAUCAUCCACAAACAGAUGGACAAACAAAGGUUGUUAACAGGUGUUUGGAGACCUACCUCAGAUGCUUUGUUGGUCCUAAGCCUAAACAAUGGUUAUAAUGGCUUUCUUGGGCUGAGUUUUGGUUUAACACCAACUACAAUAGUUCUGCAUGGAUGUCACCUUUCAAGACUUUGUAUGGAAGAGACCCCCCUUAUUCUGUUGAAGGUUGGAGCUAUUCCCUCAAGGGUGGAGGAAGUUAAUCAGAUGUUUCUCCAUCGAGAUGCAGUGCUGGAAGAGUUAAAAGUGAAUCUGGCCAAAGCUCAUAACCGGAUGAAAGUCCAAGCAGAUUCACCCUAGUUUCCAUUGUUCUUCCCCUUUUCCCAAUUUCCCUGAAAUUCCCCAAUUCCCUGGUUCAAUUCUCAAAUUGAUUUCCAGGUUGUAACCUCAGUUUCAGUUCAAUAAUAUUCAUCAGAUUUACCAGUGUUAUCA